CCAGCUGGCUGGGCGGCCGCACCCGCAAACGCCGAAAGGUCGUGGGUGAGGAAAGUCCGGGCUCCAUGGAAACACGGUGCCGGUUAAUGGCCGGCGGGGGCGACCCCAGGGAAAGUGCCACAGAAAGCAAACCGCCACGAUCCGGCUUGCCGGAUUCGGGGUAAGGGUGAAAGGGUGGGGUAAGAGCCCACCGCGCGACUGGCAACAGGAGCGGCACGGUAAACCCCACCGGGAGCA
Molecule: RNase P RNA, 237 nt
Filed under: Mesorhizobium sp. M7A.T.Ca.TU.009.01.3.2
Lineage: Bacteria; Pseudomonadati; Pseudomonadota; Alphaproteobacteria; Hyphomicrobiales; Phyllobacteriaceae
Description: partial RNase P RNA component class A
Rfam family: Bacterial RNase P class A
About the family: Ribonuclease P (RNase P) is a ubiquitous endoribonuclease, found in archaea, bacteria and eukarya as well as chloroplasts and mitochondria. Its best characterised activity is the generation of mature 5'-ends of tRNAs by cleaving the 5'-leader elements of precursor-tRNAs.
Source: RNAcentral